Molecule: long non-coding RNA, 541 nt
Filed under: Equus caballus (horse)
Lineage: Eukaryota; Metazoa; Chordata; Mammalia; Perissodactyla; Equidae
Description: lncRNA (ENSECAG00000053018.1)
Source: RNAcentral
UUCCCCUUUCCCAGAGGCUGUGACAAUUCUGUCUUUGUUCCCAGUGAAGUAAAUGGUAGAGAAACCGAGGCUGUUCACGUUACACUCGGUCAAGAAGUCCUCUGGAACCCGGGGAAGGCUUGAGGCUCAGCAGCAAUGGAGGCAGGUGUUUUGUAUCCCCAUCUUGGUGGACACAGAAUCAGGCCGCUGCGCUGGGCAAUGGGGAUGCCCUCUCUUUUCCACGGUGACCAUCGGCGCUGAAAGCCCGCUUCCCACGUGGUCUUAGGUGGGAGGGCAGGAGGCCACUCAGAGCGGACCUGUCUGCGGGGCCUGAGGACUCUCCUGAUGGGACCGAGCCUGCCUGCCACCUCCCCUCCCGUGACAUCUCCCCAUCAGGUGUGGGGGGUCCUGGUUUUAUCCUGGCCUGAGCACACUCCCUUCAAAUGCGCUCCCAGGCCCCAGGGGGGAAUGGACGGUGGUGAGGGCUGUGUGCCUCUGUGAGCCUGAGUUCUACGGCACAUGAAUUACACCGAGAUAAAGCUGCGAUGUUAGAACAGAAAAG